AGUGUUUGAUCAUGGCUCAGGAUGAACGCUAGCGGCAGGCCUAACACAUGCAAGUCGAGGGGCAGCACGGUGUAGCAAUACACUGGUGGCGACCGGCGCACGGGUGCGUAACGCGUAUGCAACCUACCCAUAACAGGGGGAUAACACUGAGAAAUUGGUACUAAUACCCCAUAACAUCAGGACCGGCAUCGGUUCUGGUUGAAAACUCCGGUGGUUAUGGAUGGGCAUGCGUUGUAUUAGCUGGUUGG
RNAcentral lists this ribosomal RNA (248 nucleotides) under uncultured bacterium. Its description in RNAcentral is "partial 16S ribosomal RNA". It matches the Rfam family "Bacterial small subunit ribosomal RNA", at positions 8 to 252 of the family's 1533-position model. The record is from RNAcentral.